GAUCGCUGCGCGGGCUGCGAGAUCUAGGUGGCCGGGCGCGGAGCCCAAGCCGUGCCGCGCGGCGCCAUGAAGGGCAAGGAGGAAAAGGAGGGCGGCGCGCGGCUGGGCACUGGUGGCGGCGGCAGCCCUGAUAAGAGCCCGAGUGCGCAAGAGCUCAAGGAGCAGGGAAACCGGCUCUUCGUGGGCCGCAAGUACCCGGAGGCGGCGGCCUGCUACGGCCGCGCCAUCACUCGGAACCCACUUGUGGCAGUGUACUACACUAACCGGGCCCUGUGCUAUCUGAAGAUGCAGCAGCCUGAACAGGCACUUGCUGACUGCCGGCGAGCCCUGGAGCUGGACGGGCAGUCUGUGAAGGCGCACUUCUUCCUGGGGCAGUGCCAGCUGGAGAUGGAGAGUUAUGAUGAGGCCAUUGCCAAUCUGCAGCGAGCCUAUAGUUUGGCCAAGGAGCAGCGACUCAACUUUGGGGAUGAUAUUCCUAGUGCCCUUCGCAUUGCUAAGAAGAAGCGCUGGAACAGUAUCGAGGAACGGCGCAUCCACCAGGAGAGUGAGCUGCAUUCAUAUCUCACCAGGCUCAUUGCUGCUGAGCGAGAGAGGGAACUGGAGGAGUGUCAGCGGAACCACGAGGGUCAUGAAGAUGAUGGCCACAUCCGGGCCCAGCAGGCCUGCAUUGAGGCCAAGCACGUGAGGGUGCCCCUAGUCCACAUGUGGGUCAUUGUGUGUGUGUUUGUGUGUGGCAUGAAAAGUGCCCCAGCCUUUGGUGGAUCUGUUGGCCCAUGCAUGACAUGAGUGCCCUGGUGGACAGAGUGUGUGUGUCUGUGUGGAGACAGGAGUUGCCCACACAUGGCACUCAACUCUGCAGGAUAAAUACAUGGCAGAUAUGGAUGAGCUCUUCUCUCAGGUGGACGAGAAAAGAAAGAAGCGAGAUAUCCCUGACUACUUGUGUGGCAAGAUUAGCUUUGAGCUGAUGCGGGAACCCUGCAUUACACCCAGUGGUAUCACCUAUGACCGCAAGGACAUUGAGGAGCACCUGCAGCGUGUGGGCCACUUUGACCCUGUGACCCGGAGCCCUCUGACCCAGGAACAGCUCAUCCCCAACUUGGCCAUGAAGGAAGUCAUUGACGCUUUCAUCUCUGAGAACGGCUGGGUAGAGGACUAUUGAGGCCCCAUGUCCUGCCUGGCACCCUGGCCCAGGAGGAUCUGGAGACGGAAGCUCCAGUCCCUGUAUAGUUUGUGUCCCUGGGCCUGCCCCCAUCGGCCCUGCUGAUGGGUUCUGAACUGCUCCCCUUCUCAGCAUACCCCUUGCUGGACCAUGAGCCUCCCUUGUCCCCCUUCUGGGCUGGAGAGUGGGUGAGGGUGGGCUGAGGUUGCUGCUGCUGCCACUGUCCUGUAAUAAAGUCUGUGAGCACUACA
This is an RNA transcript of Mus musculus (house mouse), 1410 nucleotides long. It is a transcript of the gene named STIP1 homology and U-Box containing protein 1, with no coding region annotated. The transcript is spliced from 6 exons. The record is from RefSeq and is marked validated. Lineage: Eukaryota; Metazoa; Chordata; Mammalia; Rodentia; Muridae.